Molecule: ribosomal RNA, 497 nt
Filed under: uncultured bacterium
Lineage: Bacteria
Description: partial 16S ribosomal RNA
Rfam family: Bacterial small subunit ribosomal RNA
Source: RNAcentral
GAUGAACGCUGGCGGCGUGCCUAAUACAUGCAAGUCGAGCGAACAGACGAGGAGCUUGCGCCUCGGACGUUAGCGGCGGACGGGUGAGUAACACGUGUAUAACCUACCUAUAAGACUGGUAUAACUUCGGGAAACCGGAUCUAAUACGGGAUAAUAUAUUGAACCGCAUGGUGCAAUAGUGAAAGACGGUUGUUCUGUCACUUAUAGAUGGAUCCGCGCCGUAUUAGCUAGUUGGUAAGGUAACGGCUUAGCAAGGCAACGAUGCGUAGCCGACCGCAGGGGGUGAUCGGCCACACUGGAGCGGGAACACGGUCCAGACUCCUACGGGAGGCAGCAGUAGGGAAUCUGACGCAGUAGGCGAAAGCCUGACGGAGCAACGCCGCGCGAGUGAUGACGGUCUUCGGAUCGUAAAACUCUGUUACUAGGUAAGAACAAAUGUCUCAGUAACCAUGCCCGUCUUGACGGUACUUAAUCAGAAAGCCCCGGCUAACUACGUG